GAAAAAACGAAGAUGAGGAAAAGUAAAAAAGGAGAAGCUUAUUAGAGAGAAUCAUCACCCGGCUGAAAGUGAUUCAAGUAACCUCUUUUUUGAAGUGCGCCUCAGAGUCCUGUGUCGAAAAAGAAUUUAUUUUAGUAGAUAGAGGCGGAACCUAUCCGUUAACAGGGAUGAGUGGAGAUUAUUGCUUAAAGGCAGUAAUCUAAACAGAGUGGAACCGCGCCUAAAUAAGCGUCUCUGUC
RNAcentral lists this non-coding RNA (239 nucleotides) under Niallia circulans. RNAcentral describes it as "Bacillus circulans T-box sequence". It matches the Rfam family "T-box leader". From Rfam's summary of the family: Uncharged tRNA acts as the effector for transcription antitermination of genes in the T-box leader family. T-boxes are found upstream of many aminoacyl-tRNA synthetase genes and some amino acid biosynthetic genes usually in Gram-positive bacteria. Lineage: Bacteria; Bacillati; Bacillota; Bacilli; Caryophanales; Bacillaceae. The record is from RNAcentral.